Molecule: ribosomal RNA, 252 nt
Filed under: uncultured Bacteroidales bacterium
Lineage: Bacteria; Pseudomonadati; Bacteroidota; Bacteroidia; Bacteroidales
Description: partial 16S ribosomal RNA
Rfam family: Bacterial small subunit ribosomal RNA
Source: RNAcentral
UACGGAGGAUGCGAGCGUUAUCCGGAUUUAUUGGGUUUAAAGAGUGCGUAGGCGGAUUUUUAAGUCAGCGGUAAAAUGUCCGGGCUCAACCCCAUCCAGCCGUUGAAACUGGGGAUCUAGAGUGUGCGAGAGGUAUGCGGAACGCGUGGUGUAGCGGUGAAAUGCAUAGAUAUCACGCAGAACUCCGAUUGCGAAGGCAGCAUACCGGCGCCCGACUGACGCUGAGGCACGAAAGCGUGGGGAUCGAACAGG